This 750-nucleotide ribosomal RNA is filed under the name Escherichia coli KTE211. RNAcentral's name for it is "bacterial SSU rRNA". It matches the Rfam family "Bacterial small subunit ribosomal RNA", at positions 770 to 1520 of the family's 1533-position model. Lineage: Bacteria; Pseudomonadati; Pseudomonadota; Gammaproteobacteria; Enterobacterales; Enterobacteriaceae. The record is from RNAcentral.
AAACAGGAUUAGAUACCCUGGUAGUCCACGCCGUAAACGAUGUCGACUUGGAGGUUGUGCCCUUGAGGCGUGGCUUCCGGAGCUAACGCGUUAAGUCGACCGCCUGGGGAGUACGGCCGCAAGGUUAAAACUCAAAUGAAUUGACGGGGGCCCGCACAAGCGGUGGAGCAUGUGGUUUAAUUCGAUGCAACGCGAAGAACCUUACCUGGUCUUGACAUCCACGGAAGUUUUCAGAGAUGAGAAUGUGCCUUCGGGAGCCGUGAGACAGGUGCUGCAUGGCUGUCGUCAGCUCGUGUUGUGAAAUGUUGGGUUAAGUCCCGCAACGAGCGCAACCCUUAUCCUUUGUUGCCAGCGGUCCGGCCGGGAACUCAAAGGAGACUGCCAGUGAUAAACUGGAGGAAGGUGGGGAUGACGUCAAGUCAUCAUGGCCCUUACGACCAGGGCUACACACGUGCUACAAUGGCGCAUACAAAGAGAAGCGACCUCGCGAGAGCAAGCGGACCUCAUAAAGUGCGUCGUAGUCCGGAUUGGAGUCUGCAACUCGACUCCAUGAAGUCGGAAUCGCUAGUAAUCGUGGAUCAGAAUGCCACGGUGAAUACGUUCCCGGGCCUUGUACACACCGCCCGUCACACCAUGGGAGUGGGUUGCAAAAGAAGUAGGUAGCUUAACCUUCGGGAGGGCGCUUACCACUUUGUGAUUCAUGACUGGGGUGAAGUCGUAACAAGGUAACCGUAGGGGAACCUGCGGUUG